AUGACCUCAAAUCAGAUGAGACUACCCGCUGAACUUAAGCAUAUCUCACUGUCCGAGUUGUAAAUUGAAGAGAGUGUCACCCACACUGGACCAUGUCUAAAUUGUAAUGAUCCACAGUCCUUUGA
RNAcentral lists this ribosomal RNA (125 nucleotides) under uncultured Craterellus. RNAcentral's name for it is "partial 28S ribosomal RNA". The record is from RNAcentral. Lineage: Eukaryota; Fungi; Basidiomycota; Agaricomycetes; Cantharellales; Hydnaceae.